Molecule: ribosomal RNA, 431 nt
Filed under: uncultured bacterium
Lineage: Bacteria
Description: bacterial SSU rRNA
Rfam family: Bacterial small subunit ribosomal RNA
Source: RNAcentral
AACGCGAAGAACCUUACCAGGUCUUGACAUCCAACUAACGAAGCAGAGAUGCAUUAGGUGCCCUUCGGGGAAAGUUGAGACAGGUGGUGCAUGGUUGUCGUCAGCUCGUGUUGUGAGAUGUUGGGUUAAGUCCCGCAACGAGCGCAACCCUUAUUGCUAGUUGCUACGUAAGAGCACUCUAGCGAGACUGCCGUUGAUAAAACGGAGGAAGGUGGGGAUGACGUCAAAUCAUCAUGCCCCUUAUGACCUGGGCUACACACGUACUACAAUGGCUGUUAAUAGAGGGAAGCAAUACAGUGAUGUGGAGCAAAACCCCAAAAACAGUCUUAGUUCGGACUGCAGGCUGCAACUCGCCUGCACGAAGUUGGAAUUGCUAGUAAUCGCAGAUCAGCAUGCUGCGGUGAAUACGUUCCCGGGCCUUGUACACACCG